Molecule: non-coding RNA, 29 nt
Filed under: Rattus norvegicus (Norway rat)
Lineage: Eukaryota; Metazoa; Chordata; Mammalia; Rodentia; Muridae
Source: RNAcentral
UUCACAAUCUCCGCCUCUGGGAUUUGAAA